Molecule: long non-coding RNA, 684 nt
Organism: Brassica rapa (field mustard)
Lineage: Eukaryota; Viridiplantae; Streptophyta; Magnoliopsida; Brassicales; Brassicaceae
Source: RefSeq, a predicted model, not a curated record
AGAAAUAUAGCUGAAUAUGGAAAAGUCCAUUGAGGAACACUUACAUACCAAAGACUUUUCUCCAAAAUCUUAUUCCUAAGAUAUUCACUGGAAAUUCCAACAAGUAAAGACGUAGAGAGUGGAUUGUCGUGGACCUUGGUAUUCACUCGUCCUCAUAUUCAUUAUCUUUAUAAUCCUGAUCCACAUCGUCACAAUCUCUAUAUAACCAUACUCGUCUUCUUUGAAUUAAAACCACAACACUCUCUCUUAUUCAUAAGGAUUAUCUCCGCACUUAUCAUUGACUCAGAAUGAAUCAGUCUUCAGUCGUAGUGGAAAAACCUUCACAGGAGAUGUACAUGAGUCCGCCGCCGAUUGUUUAUCCGACUAGAGAUGCGGCUGGUGGUGAUCCUCUGGUAGCCCCCGUGGAGACCAAGUGCAAAAAAUGUUGGAGAAAGUGUUUUGAUACGUUCUGCUGUUUUUUCGAAAUCGUGCAAGCAUGCACCUGGUGAUGAGACUUCGGAGUUAACGGUAUCAUGCAAAUUAUUGGUGUGUUAAAUAUAUAUAUUAUUUAUUUAAUGAUAAUUGUGUUACUUAAUUACGCUUUAUGUGAAAUGUACUGUACGGAUGGCUGACGUUGUUGUGCUUUGCAUUCAGUGACCAUAUCUUCCUAUAUAUUUAAACGUGAACUUGGAUUGUCGAAAUGCU